Long non-coding RNA from Hermetia illucens (black soldier fly), 688 nucleotides. RefSeq lists it as uncharacterized. The transcript has 3 exons. The record is from RefSeq and is a predicted model, not a curated record. NCBI's taxonomy places the organism in Eukaryota, Metazoa, Arthropoda, Insecta, Diptera, Stratiomyidae.
AAGAAUGAAAAUUGAUAAUUUAGAAGUGGAUUGAACCAUUGAUAGCGUAGUGUUUGAUGGUUUGACAUGUACGGAGGUUGGGGAAAGUGGGAGGAUAUUUGAUUUGGACAAUGGUGAAAUCGAUCGGUGAAAAUUUGCGGUAAAGGGUGAAGUAUUGGAUUGUUUUUACAGCGAACAAUCGUGAAAUUAGAUAGAAUAGCAAAAAUUAAUUGUUUUAGCGGAUAGAGAAAACUUUUUGAUUUUGGAAAAGUUUGCAAAGCACUGCACUGCUCGAUGCGUAUUGACAUUUGCGGUUUAGUGCAGGUGUACGGGUGGCACCGAACUCGACUUGCAGCCGUACUUAAACCGGACGGAGCGAGUGGAGUCGAGUUGUACCGGGCAUAUUGGUUGGCACCGGGCUCCGCGCUCGACUUGUAGCCGUACUUAAAAAGGACGGACCGAGCCGAGCGGAGUUUUGGGGAAAUUUUAUUCGCAGUUCGGGUCGGAAUUGAAGUGAGAAGUUCGAAAUGAAAAGUUUUUGGCGGUGAUCGUGAUGAGUUUGUACGGAUGGAAGGGAAUACUCAGAAGGAAUGUUGGAUAUAUUGGGAGGAUGGAAAGGUUGGUCACAAGUAUUUUUCAAUGUGUAAUAUGAAAUGAAUAAAUAAUUAAUUGCGAUUUUAGAGAAAGCAACAGAUUGAUCAAAUUGGAC